AUACGUAGGGUGCAAGCGUUAAUCGGAAUUACUGGGCGUAAAGCGUGCGCAGGCGGUUUUGUAAGACAGUGGUGAAAUCCCCGGGCUCCACCUUGGAACUGCCAUUGUGACUGCAAGGCUGGAGGGCGGCAGAGGGGGAUGGAAUUUCGCGUGUAGCAGUGAAAUGCGUAGAUAUGCGGAGGAACACCGAUGGCGAAGGCAAUCCCCUGGGCCUGCACUGACGCUCAUGCACGAAAGCGUGGGGAGCAAACAGGAUUAGAUACCCUGGUAGUCCACGCCCUAAACGAUGUCAACUGGUUGUUGGGGAUUUAUUUUCUCAGUAACGAAGCUAACGCGUGAAGUUGACCGCCUGGGGAGUACGGCCGCAAGGUUAAAACUUAAAGGAAUUGACGGGG
RNAcentral lists this ribosomal RNA (395 nucleotides) under uncultured bacterium. Its description in RNAcentral is "partial 16S ribosomal RNA". It matches the Rfam family "Bacterial small subunit ribosomal RNA", at positions 523 to 918 of the family's 1533-position model. The record is from RNAcentral.